This 476-nucleotide ribosomal RNA is filed under the name uncultured bacterium. Its description in RNAcentral is "bacterial SSU rRNA". It matches the Rfam family "Bacterial small subunit ribosomal RNA", at positions 15 to 518 of the family's 1533-position model. The record is from RNAcentral.
GAUCAUGGCUCAGAACGAACGCUGGCGGCAUGGAUUAGGCAUGCAAGUCGAACGAAGUAGCAAUACUUAGUGGCGCAAGGGUGAGGAACGCGUGAGUGACCUACCCGCAAGUUUGGAACAGCUCCUGGAAACGGGAAUUAAUACCGGAUGUGAUCAAUGAGCUGCAUGGUUUAUUGAUUAAAGCAGUAAUGCGCUUGCGGAUGGGCUCGCGUCCCAUUAGCUAGUUGGUGAGGUAACGGCCCACCAAGGCCAUGAUGGGUAGCUGGUCUGAGAGGACGACCAGCCACACUGGGACUGAGAACUGCCCAGACUCCUACGGGAGGCUGCAGUCGAGAAUUUUGGGCAAUGGACGAAAGUCUGACCCAGCAAUGCCGCGUGCGGGAUGAAGGUCUUCGGAUUGUAAACCGCUGUUUGGAGGGACGAAAAUUGACGGUACUUCCAGAGAAAGCCACGGCUAACUACGUGCCAGCCGCUGC